This 72-nucleotide transfer RNA is filed under the name Camelus bactrianus (Bactrian camel). It matches the Rfam family "tRNA". Rfam says of the family: Transfer RNA (tRNA) molecules are approximately 80 nucleotides in length. RNAcentral also lists the same sequence under 2 other names. Lineage: Eukaryota; Metazoa; Chordata; Mammalia; Artiodactyla; Camelidae. The record is from Rfam by way of RNAcentral.
GGGUGUGGAGCUCAGUGGUAGAGCUUGUGCCUAGCAGGUAUAAGGUCCUGGGUUCAAUCCCCAAUACCUCCA